GAUGAACGCUGGCGGCGUGCCUAAUACAUGCAAGUCGAGCGAACAGACGAGGAGCUUGCUCCUCUGACGUUAGCGGCGGACGGGUGAGUAACACGUGGAUGACCUACCUAUAAGACUGGGAUAACUUCGGGAAACCGGAGCUAAUACCGGAUAAUAUAUUGAACCGCAUGGUUCAAUAGUGAAAGACGGUUUUGCUGUCACUUAUAGAUGGAUCCGCGCCGCAUUAGCUAGUUGGUAAGGUAACGGCUUACCAAGGCGACGAUGCGUAGCCGACCUGAGAGGGUGAUCGGCCACACUGGAACUGAGACACGGUCCAGACUCCUACGGGAGGCAGCAGUAGGGAAUCUUCCGCAAUGGGCGAAAGCCUGACGGAGCAACGCCGCGUGAGUAAUGAAGGUCUUCGGAUCGUAAAACUCUGUUAUUAGGGAAGAACAAAUGUGUAAGUAACUAUGCACGUCUUGACGGUACCUAAUCAGAAAGCCACGGCUAACUACGUG
RNAcentral lists this ribosomal RNA (497 nucleotides) under uncultured bacterium. RNAcentral's name for it is "partial 16S ribosomal RNA". It matches the Rfam family "Bacterial small subunit ribosomal RNA", at positions 28 to 507 of the family's 1533-position model. The record is from RNAcentral.